AUGCUGCUCUGCAUGCGGGCAAUAAGUUGGCGUCGGCGGGCCGGGGAGGCCGCACUGUGGCGAGCGGUGGUGUCGGGAGGCAUCUCCGACUGUCCGCGCAGCCAACUGACAGGGUCAACCCAAAGGCCCCUGGUUGGACAAAGAGGUUACGCCUCACCUGACCGGACGCCAUUUUUGCCGAUGCGAGUGCCCUGCAUUGAUAAGGCUCUUGCCGGCAGCUGA
Molecule: ribosomal RNA, 222 nt
Filed under: Triticum aestivum (bread wheat)
Lineage: Eukaryota; Viridiplantae; Streptophyta; Magnoliopsida; Poales; Poaceae
Description: partial small subunit ribosomal RNA
Source: RNAcentral